CCUACGGGUGGCAGCAGUGGGGAAUAUUGGGCAAUGGACGCAAGUCUGACCCAGCAACGCCGCGUGAAGGAAGAAGGCUUUCGGGUUGUAAACUUCUUUUAAGGGGGAAGAGCAGAAGACGGUACCCCUUGAAUAAGCCACGGCUAACUACGUGCCAGCAGCCGCGGUAAUACGUAGGUGGCAAGCGUUGUCCGGAUUUACUGGGUGUAAAGGGCGUGCAGCCGGAGAGACAAGUCAGAUGUGAAAUCCACGGGCUCAACCCGUGAACUGCAUUUGAAACUGUUUCCCUUGAGUGUCGGAGAGGUAAUCGGAAUUCCUUGUGUAGCGGUGAAAUGCGUAGAUAUAAGGAAGAACACCAGUGGCGAAGGCAGCCUGCUGGACUGUAACUGACGCUGAUGCUCGAAAGUGUGGGUAUCAAACAGGAUUAGAUACCCCUGUAGUC
RNAcentral lists this ribosomal RNA (442 nucleotides) under uncultured bacterium. RNAcentral's name for it is "partial 16S ribosomal RNA". It matches the Rfam family "Bacterial small subunit ribosomal RNA", at positions 338 to 795 of the family's 1533-position model. The record is from RNAcentral.